Molecule: ribosomal RNA, 210 nt
Filed under: uncultured bacterium
Lineage: Bacteria
Description: partial 16S ribosomal RNA
Rfam family: Bacterial small subunit ribosomal RNA
Source: RNAcentral
UGCGUAGGCGGUUAGGUAAGUCAGAUGUGAAAUUCCAGGGCUCAACCCUUGGAACUGCAUUUGAUACUGCUUGACUAGAGUACUGGAGGGGAGACUGGAAUUCACGGUGUAGCAGUGAAAUGCGUAGAUAUCGUGAGGAAGGCCAGCGGCGAAGGCGAGUCUCUGGACAGUUACUGACGCUGAGGCACGAAGGCGUAGGGGAGCGAAACG